RNAcentral lists this ribosomal RNA (474 nucleotides) under uncultured bacterium. Its description in RNAcentral is "partial 16S ribosomal RNA". The stretch from base 20 to 302 matches the Rfam family "Bacterial small subunit ribosomal RNA", at positions 47 to 358 of the family's 1533-position model. The record is from RNAcentral.
AACGAACGCUGGCGGCAUGCCUAACACAUGCAAGUCGAACGAGACCUUCGGGUCUAGUGGCGCACGGGUGCGUAACGCGUGGGAACCUGCCCUUAGGUUCGGAAUAACUCCCCGAAAGGGGUGCUAAUACCGGAUAAUGUCUUCGGACCAAAGAUUUAUCGCCUUUGGAUGGGCCCGCGUUGGAUUAGCUAGUUGGUAGGGUAAAAGCCUACCAAGGCGACGAUCCAUAGCUGGUCUGAGAGGAUGAUCAGCCACACUGGGACUGAGACACGGCCCAGACGAGGCGGGGGCGAAGCAGAGGGAGACAGCGGACGGGGGGGUAAAGCAAGCGGCAGGGAUGGGGAGGGGGGGAGGAAGGUUUUGUGGUUAAACAGUCUUAUCACGAGUGAUGAAAAGGACAGUAGGGGGAGAGUAGGCUCCGUCACACUGCGGCACGGCGGGCGGUGAAAUAGGCGGAAGAGCAAGCGUCUGAAC